Molecule: ribosomal RNA, 419 nt
Filed under: Mengenilla australiensis
Lineage: Eukaryota; Metazoa; Arthropoda; Insecta; Strepsiptera; Mengenillidae
Description: 12S ribosomal RNA
Source: RNAcentral
CCUAUUAUUCAUAGAAUAUAAAUAAAAUAAAAUUAGUAAUAUAAAUGAAAAAUAAAAAAUUUGGCGGUAUUUUAGUUAAUUUAGAGGAAUCUGUUUUGAAGUUGAUAGACCACGAUAAGUAAUAUUUAAUUUAUUUUAUUUAUAUAUAGUUAUUUAAAAUAUAUUGAAAAUUUAUUUUUAUUAAUAUUAAUAAUUUUUUAAUUUAAAUCAAUAUGUAAUUAAUAAUUAAAAAAGAAUGGAUUAUAAUUUAAUGAAUAAAUAAUUUAAAAAUAUAAAAUUUUUAAGGAAAGAAUUUAAAAGUAAUUUUUAUUUAUUAAUAAAGAUGAGUAAAAUUAAAAAUAUGUACAUAUUGCCCGUCAAUUUUAGUAAUAAAAUAAGUCGUAACAAAGUAAAUGUAUUGGAAAAUGUAUUUAGAAUAA